This 253-nucleotide ribosomal RNA is filed under the name uncultured bacterium. Its description in RNAcentral is "partial 16S ribosomal RNA". It matches the Rfam family "Bacterial small subunit ribosomal RNA", at positions 524 to 776 of the family's 1533-position model. The record is from RNAcentral.
UACGUAGGGUGCAAGCGUUGUCCGGAAUUAUUGGGCGUAAAGAGCUCGUAGGCGGUCUGUCGCGUCGGCUGUGAAAACUCGGGGCUCAACCCCGAGCCUGCAGUCGAUACGGGCAGACUAGAGUGCUGUAGGGGAGACUGGAAUUCCUGGUGUAGCGGUGAAAUGCGCAGAUAUCAGGAGGAACACCGGUGGCGAAGGCGGCUUCCUGGUCUGCGACUGACGCUGUGGCGCGAAAGCUAGGGGAGCAAACAGG